This is a non-coding RNA of Rattus norvegicus (Norway rat), 123 nucleotides long. The record is from Rfam. Lineage: Eukaryota; Metazoa; Chordata; Mammalia; Rodentia; Muridae.
GUCUACGGCCAUACCACCCUGAACGCGCCUGAUCUCAUCUGAUCUCGAAAGCUAAGCAGGGUCGGAAGCUAAGCAGGGUCGGGCCUGGUUAGUACUUGGAUGGGAGUCCAAGGGCUAUGAACC